CAGUCGCCGCGGGAAUACGGAGGGUGCAAGCGUUAUCCGGAUUUAUUGGGUUUAAAGGGUCCGUAGGCGGAUCUGUAAGUCAGUGGUGAAAUCUCACAGCUUAACUGUGAAACUGCCAUUGAUACUGCAGGUUUUGAGUAAAUUUGAAGUGGCUGGAAUAAGUAGUGUAGCGGUGAAAUGCAUAGAUAUUACUUAGAACACCAAUUGCGAAGGCAGGUCACUAAGAUUUAACUGACGCUGAUGGACGAAAGCGUGGGGAGCGAACAGGAUUAGAUACCCGAGUAGUCCCUGUCUCUUAUAC
Molecule: ribosomal RNA, 301 nt
Filed under: uncultured bacterium
Lineage: Bacteria
Description: partial 16S ribosomal RNA
Rfam family: Bacterial small subunit ribosomal RNA
Source: RNAcentral